AGAGUUUGAUCAUGGCUCAGAACGUACGCUGGCGGCACGCCUAAUACAUGCAAGUCGAACGAAGUAGCAAUACUUAGUGGCAGACGGGUGAGUAACAUGUGGGUAUCUUCCCUUUGGUGAGGAAUAACACGAGGAAACUUGUGCUAAUACCUCAUAAGUCUUUACAGAGAAAGCUUUAUGCGCCAUUGGAUGAGCCCGCACUUGAUUAGUUUGUUGGUGGGGUAAUGGCCUACCAAGACAAUGAUCAAUAGCUGAUUUGAGAGGAUGAUCAGCCACAUUGGGACUGAGACACGGCCCAAACUCCUACGGGAGGCAGCAGUAGGGAAUCUUGCACAAUGGAGGAAACUCUGAUGCAGCGAUGCCGCGUGAGUGAAGAAGGCCUUUGGGUUGUAAAGCUCUUUCGUCGGGGAAGAAAAUGACUGUACCCGAAUAAGAAGGUCCGGCUAACUUCGUGCCAGCAGCCGCGGUAAUACGAAGGGACCUAGCGUAGUUCGGAAUUACUGGGCUUAAAGAGUUCGUAGGUGGUUAAAAAAGUUGAUGGUGAAAUCCCAGAGCUUAACUCUGGAACUGCCGUCAAAACUUUUUAGCUAGAGUAUGAUAGAGGAAAG
Molecule: ribosomal RNA, 608 nt
Filed under: uncultured bacterium
Lineage: Bacteria
Description: bacterial SSU rRNA
Rfam family: Bacterial small subunit ribosomal RNA
Source: RNAcentral